AUGGCCGCCGGGAGGAAGGUGACGAUGAGCAGCGCCGGCGUGGCCGCCGCGCUGGUGGCGCUGCUGGUCGUGGCGGCGGCGUCGGGCGCGGCCGGGCUCAGGGUCUGCAGCGUGGACAGGGACAGCGUCGUCAACAACUGCAAGUCCUACUGCACGGUGGGCAGCACGGAGGCCAGCCCCAGCGGCGCGUGCUGCAACGCGGUGCGCGGCGGCAACUUCAAGUGCCUCUGCCAGUUCAGGAACGCGCUGUCCCCGGACAUCGACGGCAACCGCGCCAUGCAGAUCCCCGCCAAGUGCGGCUACGGGGCGGCCUCCUGCUAG
Molecule: ribosomal RNA, 321 nt
Filed under: Triticum aestivum (bread wheat)
Lineage: Eukaryota; Viridiplantae; Streptophyta; Magnoliopsida; Poales; Poaceae
Description: partial small subunit ribosomal RNA
Source: RNAcentral